AUUGAACGCUGGCGGCAGGCUUAACACAUGCAAGUCGAGCGAGUGGCGGACGUGUGUGUAAUCCGUGGGAAUCCAGCAUAUGGGGGGGGAACAAUACGGGAAACUGUAUAUAAUACCGUGUACCCAAGGAUGACCCAAAGUGGGAUUAGGUAGUUGGUGAGGUAAAGGCUCACCAAGCCGACGAUCUCUAGCUGGUCUGAGAGGAUGAUCAGCCACACUGGGACUGAGACACGGCCCAGACUCCUACGGGAGGCAGCAGUGGGGAAUAUUGCACAAUGGGCGCAAGCCUGAUGCAGCCAUGCCGCGUGUAUGAAGAAGGCCUUCGGGUUGUAAAGUACUUUCAGUCGGGAGGCGUUACCGACAGAAGAAGCACCGGCUAACUCCGUGCCAGCAGCCGCGGUAAUUC
Molecule: ribosomal RNA, 406 nt
Filed under: uncultured bacterium
Lineage: Bacteria
Description: partial 16S ribosomal RNA
Rfam family: Bacterial small subunit ribosomal RNA
Source: RNAcentral